GACGAACGCUGGCGGCGUGCUUAACACAUGCAAGUCGAACGGAAAGGCCCUGCUUUUGUGGGGUGCUCGAGUGGCGAACGGGCGAGUAACACGUGAGUAACCUGCCCUUGACUUUGGGAUAACUUCAGGAAACUGGGGCUAAUACCGGAUAGGAGCUCCUGCUGCAUGGUGGGGGUUGGAAAGUUUCGGCGGUUGGGGAUGGACUCGCGGCUUAUCAGCUUGUUGGUGGGGUAGUGGCUUACCAAGGCUUUGACGGGUAGCCGGCCUGAGAGGGUGACCGGCCACAUUGGGACUGAGAUACGGCCCAGACUCCUACGGGAGGCAGCAGUGGGGAAUAGUGCACAAUGGGCGGAAGCCUGAUGCAGCAACGCCGCGUGCGGGAUGACGGCCUUCGGGUUGUAAACCGCUUUCGCCUGUGACGAAGCGUGAGUGACGGUAAUGGGUAAAGAAGCACCGGCUAACUACGUG
Molecule: ribosomal RNA, 468 nt
Filed under: uncultured bacterium
Lineage: Bacteria
Description: partial 16S ribosomal RNA
Rfam family: Bacterial small subunit ribosomal RNA
Source: RNAcentral